Non-coding RNA from Nicotiana tabacum (common tobacco), 2202 nucleotides. The record is from RefSeq and is a predicted model, not a curated record. NCBI's taxonomy places the organism in Eukaryota, Viridiplantae, Streptophyta, Magnoliopsida, Solanales, Solanaceae.
AGGAGUAUACACCCAUUGCCCAAGGCAUCAACCAGUUAUAUGGAUUGGUUUCCGGCGUACGUUUUUAGUUAUAUUUUCAGGGUUUGGUACACGAGUAGAAGCAGAAGCAGAACUAGAAUUUUAACUUUAUGCGUUUAGAUUUUAGAGGCUUACUUUAAAUGCUAAUAGUUGGGUUUUAAAUUUAAUAUAUGUGCAUAUUUGUUAUAGUAUGUUAGUUGCAAAUAUAGUCUAGAUACAUUUACCAGAUUAAUCCAGAUACAUUUAGCAGAUUCUGUAAUAUUCUGUUUCAUUUGUUUUGAUUUCUUUCCUUAGAUAGAUUUCUUGUAACUGUAUAAAUUCCUUUCAUAUUCAUGAAUAGAAAUCAUCAGCUUUUACAAUUAAAUUACAUGGUAUCAGAGUCGCUAGGGCUCAAUUUAUUCUCAGAACUUUCUCCGGCGUCAGGGUGGGCAGCGAGUGAGUCACACGCGCCACCUCCACCUCGUGACUAUCUCUCAAGUUCCGGCGUCAUCUUGUCAAUUCCAACAUAUUUCAGGUGUUCUUUUCUUUCCGAUGUUAAAACAUUGUUUGGGAUUUAUUCUUCACGUCCAGGUUGGCCUUUUUUUCCCUUAUACUUCUAAGACAGUCGAUUUGGUAAUUUAUUUUGUACUUUUGCUAUUGCUGGACUCUGUUCGGAUGUCAGAUUGCUAUUGUUUUGUGGGUAUCACUGCUGAUUCAUUUGGUAUCAUUUACAUCUUGCUCUUAUCUACAAGUUUUGGGUGUCAAAUUAUUUACUUUUGCAUCUAUUUAUCAGUUUCUUGACUAAGCAUCAAUUAAAAUGUCUAAUGAUACAACUUCCGUGACUCAAAUAGUUUUAGCAUUAUCUAAAAUUACAGAGUAUCAAUUAAAUGGGUCUAAUUAUUUAGAUUGGAGUAGGAAAAUAGGGGUAUAUUUAUGUAGCAUUGAAAAAGAUGGCCAUCUUAUUCAGGACCCUCCAACUGAUGGAACUAAAAAGGUUGGAUGAGAGAUGACGCUAGAUUACUCCUGCAAAUAAUAAACUCUAUUGAUAAUGAAGUAGUUGGUUUGGUUAAUCACUGUGAGUUCGUUAAGGAGUUAAUGGAUUAUCUGGAGCAUCUAUAUUCCGGCAAAGGUAAUGUAUCUCGGAUUUAUGAAGUUUGUAAGGCUUUCUAUCGUCCUGAGAAGGAAGCUAAGUCACUCACCACGUAUUUCAUGGAGUUCAAGAAAACUUAUGAGGAAUAGAACGUGAUUUUGCCAUUCAGUACAGAUAUCAAAGUGCAACAAGCUCAAAGGGAACAAAUGUCAAUAAUGAGUUUCUUAUUUGGACUUCCCUCUGAGUUGGAGGCUGCUAAAUCACAGAUUCUCUCCAGUUCUGACACCACUUCUCUGAAAGAUAUUUUCAGUCGGGUGUUGCGCACAGAGAGUACUCCAUCCACCGAGCAGAUCAAUGUAUUUGUUACGAAAGGGAAAGGAAGAAAUGAUGCUAAGAGGUGGAACAAUAACAAUGAUGCUGGAAAGUGGAGCAAUAACAAUGAUGCUAGGCGGUGGAACAGUAAUAAAGGAAGAGACAACGACAUUAUUUUCCGCAACUGUAAGGAACCUGGACACAUGAAAUGAAGCUGUAAGAAAUUACAGAUUCAUAAUCAAAGAGCCCAAACUGCCAAUAUAAUGUUGUUGCUGCUUCUAACUCAUCCUUAGAGAAAACUGUUACAAUCUCAGCCGAUGAAUAUGGCAAAGUUUCUCAAUAUCAGAAAUUAAUGAAAGGAUGUACUCCAUUUAUAUCUCUUGCUGAGUCACGUAACAAAUGUCUUAUUUCCUAUUCAAAUAAAUGGGUUAUUGAUUCUGGUGUCACAGAUCACAUGACAGGAUCUUAUGACGAAGUAGAUUAUUGGUAAAGGGCAUGUAUUUGAUAGUCUCUACAUCCUUGAUACAUGAGUGCCCGGUCAGUUGGUUGCUCAAGUGUUGUCUCGCCAUUUGAAGCACAUUGUCGGUUGAGACAUCCUUCUCUACCUGUUUUGAAGAAGUUAUGCCCCCAAUUUCAUGAUGUACAUGUGGUAGAAUGUGAGUCUUGUCACUUUAUAAAACAUCAUCGAAGCUCGUUAGGUCCUUGAAUUAAUAAACAAGCUGAUUUUGCUUUUGAAUUAGUUCAUUCAAACAUUUUGGGACCAUGUCCAGUUGCGUCUAAAGGUUGUUUAAGAUAUUUUGUUA